Molecule: ribosomal RNA, 491 nt
Filed under: uncultured bacterium
Lineage: Bacteria
Description: partial 16S ribosomal RNA
Rfam family: Bacterial small subunit ribosomal RNA
Source: RNAcentral
AGUGAACGCUGGCGGUAGGCCUAACACAUGCAAGUCGAACGGCAGCACAGUAAGAGCUUGCUCUUACGGGUGGCGAGUGGCGGACGAGUGAGGAAUACAUCGGAAUCUACUUUUUCGUGGGGGAUAACGUAGGGAAACUUACGCUAAUACCGCAUACGACCUACGGGUGAAAGCAGGGGAUCUUCGGACCUUGCGCGAUUGAAUGAGCCGAUGUCGGAUUAGCUAGUUGGCGGGGUAAAGGCCCACCAAGGCGACGAUCCGUAGCUGGUCUGAGAGGAUGAUCAGCCACACUGGAACUGAGACACGGUCCAGACUCCUACGGGAGGCAGCAGUGGGGAAUAUUGGACAAUGGGCGCAAGCCUGAUCCAGCCAUACCGCGUGGGUGAAGAAGGCCUUCGGGUUGUAAAGCCCUUUUGUUGGGAAAGAAAAGCAGCAGGUUAAUACCCCGCUGUUCUGACGGGACCCAAAGAAUAAGCACCGGCUAACUUCGU